This 67-nucleotide transfer RNA is filed under the name Marmota monax (woodchuck). Its description in RNAcentral is "tRNA.Ala". Lineage: Eukaryota; Metazoa; Chordata; Mammalia; Rodentia; Sciuridae. The record is from RNAcentral.
GGAUUGUAGCUCAGUGGUAGAGCGUUUGUCUAGCACACAUGGGCACUGGGUUUGAUCCUCUGCACCA